UCAAAAGAACUAUGAGAAAAAUAAGACAAUUGUCUAGAGAGAAAAAAGUUGCAUGUUGUUAUUACUAAUUAGUACUAUAGCUGAAACCAUGCUAGCGCGGGCCAUCUUGCUAGUUCUUACAUACAAAAAACAGUAAACGAGAGCCCCUACCCAAACAGAAAAAGCCUGGUGAUCCAGUCCUCUCAUCCAAAUCCAAAUUCGUGCCAAAAUGAUUUCUAUUGGAUUUGGAUCAUACCUGUACAUACCACAUCUACUACUAUCUAUUAUCUUAAUACAACAGUGUUAAAAGAAGUCACCACAUUCGCCGAUAGGGUCUAGAAAUUCCCACAUUAAUCUAAAAAAGAGAAGAAUAUACACCGUUAAAUUUUAUGAUGAUCUAACCGUCUACAUUACUCACAAGAUUUCAUAUCGAAUACAGCUAUAAGUAUAUAAUUGGAAUUUUUUCUAAAAAAGUAAAUUAGCACAUUGUACCCGUAUGUGAUACAAUCGGAAAGAUACGGACUUCAUGCAAGAGGUGCCAAUUAAUAUAAUUUUUAUUCCC
This 541-nucleotide long non-coding RNA is filed under the name Setaria viridis. RNAcentral describes it as "long non-coding RNA (SVIR_LNC003854)". Lineage: Eukaryota; Viridiplantae; Streptophyta; Magnoliopsida; Poales; Poaceae. The record is from RNAcentral.